UUGGCGAACGGGUGAGUAACGCGUGAGUAACCUGCCCUAGAGUGGGGGACAACAGUUGGAAACGACUGCUAAUACCGCAUAAGCCCACGGAUCCGCAUGGAUCUGCGGGAAAAGGAUUUAUUCGCUUUAGGAUGGACUCGCGUCCAAUUAGCUAGUUGGUGAGGUAACGGCCCACCAAGGCGACGAUUGGUAGCCGGACUGAGAGGUUGAACGGCCACAUUGGGACUGAGACACGGCCCAG
Molecule: ribosomal RNA, 241 nt
Filed under: uncultured bacterium
Lineage: Bacteria
Description: partial 16S ribosomal RNA
Rfam family: Bacterial small subunit ribosomal RNA
Source: RNAcentral